UACGAAGGGAGCUAGCGUUGUUCGGAAUCACUGGGCGUAAAGCGCACGUAGGCGGCUUCUUAAGUCAGGGGUGAAAUCCUGGAGCUCAACUCCAGAACUGCCUUUGAUACUGGGAGGCUUGAGUCCGGGAGAGGUGAGUGGAACUGCGAGUGUAGAGGUGAAAUUCGUAGAUAUUCGCAAGAACACCAGUGGCGAAGGCGGCUCACUGGCCCGAUACUGACGCUGAGGCACGAAAGCGUGGGGAGCAAACAGG
This 253-nucleotide ribosomal RNA is filed under the name uncultured bacterium. Its description in RNAcentral is "partial 16S ribosomal RNA". It matches the Rfam family "Bacterial small subunit ribosomal RNA", at positions 524 to 776 of the family's 1533-position model. The record is from RNAcentral.